CGCCGUGCUAGUGCGAGGGUCUCCAGGGGAAUUCGGGGCAGAAGUCGGGCCGGAGCAUCCGGGCGGCCGUGGCGCGAUGGCGCAGGAUCGGCGCUUUGAGAACUGAGCGCAUGUGGAGUUCGGAGGAAAAGGGCGCAGUUGUGGAAGCUGAUCGAGGAAGCCUAAGCAGGCUCUGUGAAGUGGGAAUAGUGGUAUUUGAGUCAAGGUUUGCUUAACUGGAAAGCCCGUGAGAAGAAUGGAGCAGUUGAGAAUGUGGAAGCUCCAGAGUUUUCAGCAAUUUCUCUUCUUUUUUCUUGGGAUGAGGAGAGGUGAAUAAAUAGAUUGAAGAUGGAAAAUCCCCAAGACAUUUUCUCAAGUAAUGGUGGCUGUCUAAGUGAUAUAGUUAUAGAAAAAUACCUGGUUGAAUCCAAGGAGUCUGUGUCUCAUGUUCAGCUUGCUUGCAGCAUGCAGGACUGUGCUUUCCCUUUGGAUGGAACUGAACUUUGUAUAUGGAACACUAAGGAUCCUUCUCGUCAGCUUCUAAUCCUACGAGGACACCAUCAGCCAAUUACUGCUAUGGCUUUUGGAAAUAAAGUGAACCCACUUCUAAUCUGCUCAGCAUCACUGGAUUAUGUUAUAAUGUGGAACCUGGAUGAAUGUAGAGAGAAAGUACUUCAAGGGCUGGUCCCUCGAGGGACUGUCAUGGGCUCGCUUUUGGGAAAGGUGCUGUGUUUACAGUUGAGCCUGGAUGAUCGUGUUGUUGCCGUGUGUGCUGGAAACAAAAUAUUCAUGCUGGAUAUUGAGCAGCGAUUUUCUGUGACAUACAUAGAACGUCCUGAUGUUAAUAACCGCCACAAAGUCCCACCACCGACCUUCCUGCACACAUUCUCUCAGACUCAGGCUGUCCGGGCCGAGCUGCAGGGCCACCUGGGCCCGGUGACUGCGGUGGAGUUCUGUCCCUGGCGAGCAGGCACCCUCAUCUCGGCGUCCGAGGACAGAGGCUUUAAGGUCUGGGACCAUUGUACAGGAUCAUUAAUAUACAGUUCAUCUGUGUUAUCAGCAUAUCCUCUUCUCAGUUUAUUCAUUGAUGCAGAAAGCAGGCAGCUGGUCACCGGGUGUGCUGACGGCCAGCUUUGGAUCUUCAGUUUGAUGGAUGGACACCAUUAUCGUCGUGUGGCACGGGUUGACCUAAGGAAGAAGACAGAGACUUUCUCCACAAGAAGGGUUAAGUCUGGGCUGUGCAGCCAGCCAGUUGCAUCGCUCCCAGAAGAAAGCCAGCUUCCCUCUACAAGUGCUCUGGGAAAAGGAGAGCAGGUUGAAGUAACAUUUCCUGUACUGAGACUUGCACCCUGCGAUCUCUCACUCAUCCCAAAUUCUGCAUGUGGAUGUCUUUCUUCUGAGAACACCCGAUGUGUGUGGAUCGGAAGCUCAGUGGGGUUAUUCGUAUUUAACCUGGCAAACCUGGAAGUGGAAGCUGCUUUGUAUUACAAGGAUUUCCAGAGCCUCAGCAUCCUGCUGGCCGGAUCGUGUGCCCUGAGGAACCGCACUGCGGAUCAAAAGGUGCUGUGCUUGCUGGCCUCCCUCUUUGGCGGGAAGAUUGCCGUGUUGGAGAUCAACCCGGCCGCGCUGGUCACGGCUCAGCAGUGCCCCAGCAUGGGGCAGAGCCUCUCGGUGCCAGCCAGCUCCUGUGUCCUACCGACCUCUCCACUGUAUCUGGGAAUUGCCAAGGAGAAGAGUACCAAGGCUGCUAGUGAACAGCGAUGUGCUGCACGGAACGUCAUGAAGGACCAACGCCUGGUUUUCCAUAGUAAAGUUAGGUCGUCUGGUUAUGCGUCAGCACCACAUGUGACUAUGUUUUCACCAAAGACCAACAUCAAGAGUGAGUCGAAAGGAUCUUCAAGGAGCAGGAGCAGCUGCGCACGGGAGGCAUACCCCGUGGAGUGCGCUGUGCCCACCAAGCCCGGCCCCCAGGUCGCUGCCGCCCCCACCUGCACACGUGUAUGCUGCAUCCAGUACUCAGGAGAUGGGCAGUGGCUGGCCUGUGGGUUGGCCAACCAUCUGUCACUCGUUUUUGAUGCCAGCCUGACUGGGACACCUGCUGUGUUUUCAGGGGAAACUGGCCAAUUGAAGAGGAGGGAGGCCUUCCGUACCGUGAGGAGAUCGUGGGGAGAGAGAGGAAGAGGCACCCAUGUGGUCCCCCAUGGGCACGUUGCUUCGUGGGGAUUGGCUCCAGAGGGCCCGGCCUUGCCUGCGGUGAUUCGUCUUCGAUGCACCCUGCGGCCCGCAGCGCUUCACGCAUGUGUCUGGGGCUGGAGCUCGGGAGAGGAGGGGGAUCCCACCUUUGAUAUAAACAGAAGAGCAAGUCCAAGCUGAUUUGCAGGCUCUCCACGACAGGUGCAGUAGACAUGACCAGUUUAUCGGCAGUCAACGACUUUUAUUCCCACAUCGUACUCGCAGCUGGCCGGAACAGGACCGUGGAAGUGUUCGACCUCAACGCCGGCUGCAGUGCAGCGGUGAUAGCGGAAGCCCACUCACGGCCUGUCCAUCAAAUCUGCCAAAAUAAAGGUUCAUCAUUUACAACCCAACAGCCUCAGGCUUAUAACCUUUUCCUGACCACGGCCGUUGGCGAUGGGAUGAGACUGUGGGACCUGAGAACCCUGAGGUGUGAGCGCCACUUUGAAGGGCAUCCAACCCGCGGCUAUCCAUGUGGAAUCGCUUUCAGUCCUUGUGGACGAUUCGCGGCUUGUGGGGCCGAGGACAGACACGCUUACGUAUAUGAAAUGGGCUCAAGCACGUUUUCUCACCGGCUGGCUGGGCACACAGACACCGUCACUGGAGUGGCCUUCAACCCAUCAGCGCCCCAGGUAAGGAAACUGAGGCAUAAAGAAGUUAAAAUGCCUGAACAAAAGCACACAGUGAGUAAGUGGACACGCAAGGCUUCGCACCUCAUUGAUCUGACUUCAGAUUCCAUCUUCUUGGCAUGGUGCCCACCUACGCACCACAGAGCUGUAUAAGGGCAGAAGAGAGGAGUGUGUUCUGCUGCCACCAGCAAGCACUGGGAAGCAUCUUGAAGAAAAGCGGGGUGAGCUGUACGGAGCCUUUCGGGGCAGAUUCAAGAGCAGAAAGCCAUGUCUUUCUUACUAUGGACACUCGGGAACUGGAGAAAGGUUUCCUUCUCAAAUUUAUUGACUAGAACUCAAUUCCAAAUCAAUAUUUCAAAAAAGUUUCUUAUUUCUGUGAGAGGCAAUAUAUAUUAUAUUUCUAUUAAUGUGGCAUUAAUGCUUGUUUUUUUCUUUUUUAGUCCCUGAGUGGUUUCAAAUGUGUGUUUUCAUGUACAAUUUAUAGUUCUGAAGAGUGUGUCAUUUCCAGAUAUUUCCUGACUGUCUCAUCAAUGCCCACAUCAUUAAAGUUAAUUUCAUGCCUAAGGAAUCUACACUACCUUCCAUUUGGAAAAUGUUCUGCAGAUUCUAGCAAAGUCAACAGCCAAACCGUGAAUGUAAAGGCUGCCAUACAGACUACAGAAGUAGGCAGCUUGCCAUCGCCACGCUACCUACUUUACAUUCAAGUGAUUUAUAUAAGAGCCAAAAAAAUGUGCUCCACAUAGUAUUGAUCUUUCACUGCCAUGCAGGGAUGAGCUGUCCAGAUGAUAAAUUAAGACAAUGAGAACAUAAGGAACUGGCUUCAAGAUUUGUGGUUGCCGACGGAAUUUCUUCAGCAGAAAGAGAAGGAAACUGAACUACGGAACUGGUAGGAUAUUAUUAUUUUUACUGUAAACGAUCCAAGCCUGUCAGGCCUGUAACUUCCAAGUGCAAUGUAUUAUGAUCUACAGUGUAAAACAAAAGAUUCUGAAUUUGAGUCAGUAAUAGCUGGUUUAUUCCAGGUUUCAAAUGUAAGUAACUUACUCUCACCAACAGUAGUCAAAAUGAGAAGCCUGCUAUGCUGUGGAUUUAUGGCUCAUGGACUCUGGAUGAGUUCUGCAUUUAUCUUCGUGGAGUGACGAAUAAUUGAAUUGGAAAAUCAUGGCAUCCAGAAUGGAGCUGCAUAAAAAUCUGCUGGAGUGUUUCCGAAAAAAUGAAGACCUCUGGGCCCUUAUCCCAGACUUUCUAUUUCAGUGGUCCAUGGAAGAGCCUGCAAGCUUGGCUUUUCCAUCUCAGGACUUAGCUGCAGGGUCUCAGGGCACACUGCAGAGACUCAUCAUCCUGUUGCCUGGAGGUGUGCACUGGCUAUUUGCAGAUGAGCCGCCAUCCCGAUGACUGCCCAAUCCUCGGCUGCCUGUGCUCCGGGUCUCCAUUCAUUUGACCAGCAAGACCCACAUCCAGCAACAAGGACUCCACCGGGAUGGGAGCCUGGUGCUUUUUCUCGAACUCAGCAAUCCAGCAGUGCACCUGGCUCUGUUUCCAGCCUGGCCAAUGAUAUUCUAAGCAUGAAUUAUUACAUAUUACUAAUUAUUAAAAAUUAAAUGUAAUAUCUUGA
Pan troglodytes (chimpanzee) is the source of this 4452-nucleotide RNA transcript. It is a transcript of the gene named WD repeat domain 27, with no coding region annotated. NCBI's taxonomy places the organism in Eukaryota, Metazoa, Chordata, Mammalia, Primates, Hominidae. The transcript has 26 exons. The record is from RefSeq and is a predicted model, not a curated record.